GCUUGCUUCUGAUUGAUAACAUUUGAGUGAGUGGCGGACGGGUGAGUAACACGUGGGUAACCUGCCCUAAAGUGGGGGAUAACAUUUGGAAACAGAUGCUAAUACCGCAUAAAACCUAGCACCGCAUGGUGCAAGGUUGAAAGAUGGUUUCGGCUAUCACUUUAGGAUGGACCCGCGGUGCAUUAGUUAGUUGGUGAGGUAAAGGCUCACCAAGACCGUGAUGCAUAGCCGACCUGAGAGGGUAAUCGGCCACACUGGGACUGAGACACGGCCCAGACUCCUACGGGAGGCAGCAGUAGGGAAUCUUCCACAAUGGACGAAAGUCUGAUGGAGCAACGCCGCGUGAGUGAAGAAGGUUUUCGGAUCGUAAAACUCUGUUGUUGGAGAAGAACGUAUUUGAUAGUAACUGAUCAGGUAGUGACGGUAUCCAACCAGAAAGCCACGGCUAACUACGUGCCAGCAGCCGCGGUAAUACGUAGGUGGCAAGCGUUGUCCGGAUUUAUUGGGCGUAAAGCGAGCGCAGGCGGUUUCUUAAGUCUGAUGUGAAAGCCUUCGGCUCAACCGAAGAAGUGCAUCGGAAACUGGGAAACUUGAGUGCAGAAGAGGACAGUGGAACUCCAUGUGUAGCGGUGAAAUGCGUAGAUAUAUGGAAGAACACCAGUGGCGAAGGCGGCUGUCUGGUCUGUAACUGACGCUGAGGCUCGAAAGCAUGGGUAGCAAACAGGAUUAGAUACCCUGGUAGUCCAUGCCGUAAACGAUGAGUGCUAGGUGUUGGAGGGUUUCCGCCCUUCAGUGCCGCAGCUAACGCAUUAAGCACUCCGCCUGGGGAGUACGACCGCAAGGUUGAAACUCAAAGGAAUUGACGGGGGCCCGCACAAGCGGUGGAGCAUGUGGUUUAAUUCGAAGCAACGCGAAGAACCUUACCAGGUCUUGACAUCCUUUGACCACUCUAGAGAUAGAGCUUUCCCUUCGGGGACAAAGUGACAGGUGGUGCAUGGUUGUCGUCAGCUCGUGUCGUGAGAUGUUGGGUUAAGUCCCGCAACGAGCGCAACCCUUAUUACUAGUUGCCAGCAUUUAGUUGGGCACUCUAGUGAGACUGCCGGUGACAAACCGGAGGAAGGUGGGGACGACGUCAAAUCAUCAUGCCCCUUAUGACCUGGGCUACACACGUGCUACAAUGGAUGGUACAACGAGUCGCGAGACCGCGAGGUUUAGCUAAUCUCUUAAAACCAUUCUCAGUUCGGAUUGUAGGCUGCAACUCGCCUACAUGAAGCCGGAAUCGCUAGUAAUCGCGGAUCAGCAUGCCGCGGUGAAUACGUUCCCGGGCCUUGUACACACCGCCCGUCACACCAUGAGAGUUUGUAACACCCAAAGCCGGUGA
Molecule: ribosomal RNA, 1381 nt
Filed under: Latilactobacillus curvatus
Lineage: Bacteria; Bacillati; Bacillota; Bacilli; Lactobacillales; Lactobacillaceae
Description: bacterial SSU rRNA
Rfam family: Bacterial small subunit ribosomal RNA
Source: RNAcentral